RNAcentral lists this ribosomal RNA (252 nucleotides) under uncultured bacterium. Its description in RNAcentral is "partial 16S ribosomal RNA". It matches the Rfam family "Bacterial small subunit ribosomal RNA", at positions 524 to 776 of the family's 1533-position model. The record is from RNAcentral.
UACGUAGGGGGCGAGCGUUAUCCGGAUUUAUUGGGCGUAAAGCGUGUGUAGGCGGUUUAUUAAGUAUAAGAUUAAAGCCCGAGGCUUAACCUCGGUUCGUCUUAUAAACUGGUAGACUUGAGUGUGGUAGAGGCAAAUGGAAUUUCUAGUGUAGCGGUUAAAUGCGUAGAUAUUAGAAAGAACACCGGUGGCGAAGGCGAUUUGCUGGGCCACUACUGACGCUGAGACACGAAAGCGUGGGGAGCAAAUAGG